AGAGGGUUAGAUGAGGAACUGAAACAGAGGGAAACCUGUGCAUUGAACCCAUGGAUAGAACUAAGGAUAGAGUUAAAGGAAUGAAAGCAGAGCUGCAGUUGUCCCUCUUCCUUCUCCACAGGUAUAGAA
Sphaeramia orbicularis (orbiculate cardinalfish) is the source of this 129-nucleotide long non-coding RNA. RefSeq lists it as uncharacterized. The transcript is spliced from 3 exons. Lineage: Eukaryota; Metazoa; Chordata; Actinopteri; Kurtiformes; Apogonidae. The record is from RefSeq and is a predicted model, not a curated record.